CGUAUCUUCUUCCACGUCCACACUUUUACACAGUCGCAAGUUGCUCUUGCCAGAUCCCCUUUCUCUCUUCCUCAUUCUCUCCGCUCACUCCAAAAUUGCUGCCGCCGGAUAGCUGUCGUCAGCUUGCUUCCUUGGUUCGGUGCCAUCAGCUUGCUCGUCCUCACCUGCGGCCACCCCCGCAGCUCGAUUCGCUAGUGCGGCCAUAGGAUGAACUUCAACGGUGGCUGGUUUGUCUCCACGUACGCCUCUUCGGUCUAGGCUGGUAAACAGCGAUGGAGGGGUAGCAGGGCCCAAGGUGGAGCUGCGCAAGGGAGUAGGCGAGAUCAUCCAUCUGCACGGUGUUGUUGCUCUCGACGUCCGUGCAGGUGAUGUGGGCAUGGAUUUCGCCUCGCAACCAGCUUUGAUCCAUCUUUAGUAUGAGGAUGGUGGAGACGUUUUCUGCCCCUAGAGCGCCAGCGAAACGCAUCCUCCACAUCGGCGACAUUCUUCGAAGUUCGAAGAUCAAUGGCGAUGCACCUGCUGGUCUUUGGACAGGGGAGUAUCUUGCUCCGCCGCUUAAGACCUGGGCUGGCCAACCCUGCUCGUCCCAAUGGUUGGUCCACCACAGGUUGCGGAUUAAUGCUCAAGUUUGUGAAGAUUCAUUAUUUUUAUUACUUUUUGCUUUACUUUUCUCAUUAUUUUUAUGCCAUCUGUACUUGAUUAAUGAGGUACUUUAUUAGACAUAAUUACUGUGGUACUCAAUUCAAAUAUUAUGUGACCAUUAUCUGAUCUACAAACUGUAAGUAGAUACCAUACUGCAGUACUCUUACCCUUUGCUUCUUAAUAGACUUCAAACCUAUGGAGGCCAUUCCACAAUCCCAGAUUAUAGUAGAGGAGCACGCUAUAAUUCUGUGAGAUGGUACUUACUAAAGAUGGUCUGAUCUCUUGACGUAGCAGAUUACGAUUGAGGAUAGUCAACAUGAGAUUGGGGGGCUUGUGACCGAUGCAGGAAGACAAUGCUGAAGUGCCACUUGUUGGAGGAAGUUGACAUCGAAGUGUUGUUUGCUGGAGGAAGAUGAUGUAAUAAGGGUACUCUUCUGAAAUCUAAAGGACAAUGAACUUUUGAGAUGGUCGAACCAUUGCCUGGGGAAGGUAUUUUAGGGAUGGCUGAGUUGACCACGCUUGCUCGAUGGAAAGAGAUGUUACUUGGAUGCGGAGAGAUUUUAUAUAUGUACGUGAACGUGAGAUUUUGUUUCUGCUUGGAGAGAUUGUAUCUCUGUACAAUAUUGGUAGAGUUUGGUUAUGUUUGGAGAGAUUGUAUCUUUGCAUAGGAUUGUGAGAGUUUGGUCAUUGCGUCCUGUACAUGAUCGUUUGACUUUUUCUGGGACCAUGAGAGUGUAUAUUUUUAAACGUGUAAUGAUCAGCUUUUUUUAUGGCUA
Molecule: long non-coding RNA, 1418 nt
Organism: Triticum aestivum (bread wheat)
Lineage: Eukaryota; Viridiplantae; Streptophyta; Magnoliopsida; Poales; Poaceae
Exons: 2
Source: RefSeq, a predicted model, not a curated record